RNAcentral lists this ribosomal RNA (374 nucleotides) under uncultured organism. Its description in RNAcentral is "partial 16S ribosomal RNA". It matches the Rfam family "Bacterial small subunit ribosomal RNA", at positions 528 to 897 of the family's 1533-position model. The record is from RNAcentral.
GGAGGUGCAAGCGUUAAUCGGAAUUACUGGGGCGUAAAGCGCACGCAGGCGGUUUGAUAAGUCAGAUGUGAAAGCCCCCGGGGCUCAACCUGGGGAACUGCAUUUGAUACUGUCAGACUAUAGUAUGGUAGAGAGAAGUAGAAUUCCACAUGUAGCGGUGAAAUGCGUAGGGAUGUGGAGGAAUAUCAGUGGCGAAGGCGACUUCUUGGACCAAUACUGACGCUCAGGUGCGAAAGCGUGGGGAGCAAACAGGAUUAGAUACCCUGGUAGUCCACGCCGUAAACGAUGUCUACUAGCCGUUGGGGGACUUGAUCCCUUAGUGGCGCAGCUAACGCCAUAAGUAGACCGCCUGGGGAGUACGGCCGCAAGGCUAA